RNAcentral lists this ribosomal RNA (465 nucleotides) under uncultured bacterium. Its description in RNAcentral is "partial 16S ribosomal RNA". It matches the Rfam family "Bacterial small subunit ribosomal RNA", at positions 28 to 507 of the family's 1533-position model. The record is from RNAcentral.
GACGAACGCUGGCGGCGUGCUUAACACAUGCAAGUCGAACGGAAAGGCCCCUUUGGGGGUACUCGAGUGGCGAACGGGUGAGUAACACGUGAGUAACCUGCCCUUGACUUCGGGAUAACUUCAGGAAACUGGGGCUAAUACCGGAUAGGAAUCCUUGCUGCAUGGUGGGGGUUGGAAAGCUUCGGCGGUUUUGGAUGGACUCGCGGCUUAUCAGCUUGUUGGUGGGGUAGUGGCUUACCAAGGCUUUGACGGGUAGCCGGCCUGAGAGGGCGACCGGCCACAGUGGGACUGAGACACGGCCCAGACUCCGACGGGAGGCAGCAGUGGGGAAUAUUGCACAAGGGGCGGAAGCCAGAUGCAGCAACGCCGCGUGCGGGAUGACGGCCUUCGGGUUGUAAACCGCUUUCAGCAGGGGCGAAGCUUGUGGUGACGGUACCUGCAGAAGAAGCACCGGCUAACUACGUG